RNAcentral lists this non-coding RNA (26 nucleotides) under Macaca fascicularis (crab-eating macaque). Lineage: Eukaryota; Metazoa; Chordata; Mammalia; Primates; Cercopithecidae. The record is from RNAcentral. RNAcentral also lists the same sequence under 1 other name.
UAUUAUCCCCCUUUUGUACAUGGUCU